UAGGGAAUCUCCCACAAUGGACGAAAGUCUGAUGGAGCAACGCCGCGUGAGUGAAGAAGGGUUUCGGCUCGUAAAACUCUGUUGUUAAAGAAGAACAUAUCUGAGAGUAACUGUUCAGGUAUUGACGGUAUUUAACCAGAAAGCCACGGCUAACUAUGUGCCGG
RNAcentral lists this ribosomal RNA (164 nucleotides) under uncultured bacterium. RNAcentral's name for it is "partial 16S ribosomal RNA". It matches the Rfam family "Bacterial small subunit ribosomal RNA", at positions 355 to 511 of the family's 1533-position model. The record is from RNAcentral.